UGUGGAUGUUGCAGAGAGGGUCAGCUUUAGUCAGGGAAGGCAUCCUAGAUAAGGAGGUAUUUGUGCUAAAACCUGAAUGAUGAGGACUCCACCACGUCAAGAUUUGGAGAAAAGGCAUUCCAUACAGAGAAACAGCAAGUGCAAAGUCCUUGAGAUGGGAAAGAGCAUGGUAUGUUCAAAAAGAAAAAAGAACACCAGCAUGGUGACAACAGAAGGGACAGUGUUGCAGAAGAUGAGGUCAGAGUGAUAGAGAGGAGACAGAUUGGACUUUUGUUCUAAGUACAACAGGAAGCGAUUUCAGCAUUAUAAGGAGAGAAAGGAAAGAAUAUGCAUGAUUCAAAAUGAUCACAUUUUCAUCUGGAUGAAGAUUAAAUUGCAGAGGGGCAAACUUAGAAGAGGAGAGACAAGUUAGAGGUUUUUGUGGUAGUGCAGGUGUUUGACAAUGGUGGUGAGAUUAGCAUGGUAGUACUGGAAAUAGUAAUUAGAUUCUGGAUACACUCUGGGAGUAGGGUCUACAUAUUGAGGGUUUGGAUAUAGAGAACAAGGGGAAGAGAGGAAUCAAGCAUCUCCCCUAGGAUUUUGCCUUGAGCUGCUCGUGAAGUGGAAAUGCAUUUACUGAGAGAAGACUGGGGGAGAACAAUUUAUAAGGGAGGAAAUUAGAAGUUCUACUCCAGAAAAACUGUCCUUAGAAAAAGAUCUGAAAAUAGGACAAAGGGAUUGCUGUGUCCUGUCCAUUCUGUGGAGUCUUGAGCCAUGUUCUAGCUGGCCCAACCUGCAAUUGUCAGCCUCUCUAGGGAUGCCAUACUUGAAUCUCCUUGAGUGCCCUAAUGAUUUUUCUAUUAUAGUUGCCACCUGUCUCCUUUGGCAGGUCUAUGGGCUGUCCAUGUGUUCUUUUUACUCUGACUCUCUAGCACACUCUGGCUGCUAGCUCACUGGUUGGGGUGCUACUUUUUCUUUGCUGGCUUUUUGGUUGACAAACUUUAAGCACUGGGUGUCCUACAAAUGGUGAGAGGUGAGAGGUGAAGUGAUCAUCUGCCAGGAGAUGGUGGCAGGGAGUCCAUUGACGCAUCCCUCUAUUCCCUGAUGUCUUCAUACCUGCUCAGCCUUAGGGAAGCAAAGACUCCGCCUACCCGUUGCCCUCAUUCAACCCAUUCAUAGAUCUCCAUAGGUUAAACUAUUUCAAGGGUCUAUUGCUUUGUGAUCCUCACUCUCAGGUUUCAAGACUCUUCUUUAGGUGUUCAGUGAGUCACCGAGGCAUGGGGGCAGUAAGGAAUACUGCCAAUUUUCUUCCACAGGAAGCUCCUCAGAGCCCACAAGUUCAUUUCAUUUCAGCUCUUAUGAAACCCAACCAGUUUUUUUUUUUUUUUGUAAUUGGUCAAAGACAGAUAAUUCAGAGCUAGUGCUAGAAACUUGCACUAGAGGCUAGCAGUUUCUAGAGGCUUGUUCAGGUCAUUAUCUUUCCAGAAUUUCCUUCUGUACUCAGGUUUUGAGUUUAAAAGCCAAGAUUUUAGAUUUUUUUUUGUUCCCUAGUUUACCUACUGACAAUACUCAAACGAUAGGUGCCCUCUUGUCCCAAGUUGAUAGAGGGCUACCAGAGAAACAGAAAGGAAAAAAAAGAGAAGCAUAUUAUGAAUACUUUAUAAUUAAUGAACACUUACUGCCCUGGCAGGGUAGCCAGUUUUGAAUAUAAACUACAUCAGGGUCCAAGAUAGGGGUUGUAUGGAAAUGAAAGGGGAGUUGGCAGGGACAUGUCCUGCAAGAGUAGAUUAGAAACCUGGUGAAGGUGUCUCAGCAGGUAGUUGUUUAACAGGGCUCAACUGGGAAAGGCGUAGAAUAGGGGCACUAUUAUUUGAUGAACUUUAAUGAAUAAAUAGGCUGGGGAUAUUGAGGGAUAGGUUAAAGCAGGGAAAAAUACAACAUAUAGUCGUAAAGCCAAAUGGCAAUCAAGAAAAGCAGGAAGAUUGUUUUCAUCGUACUCUUUGGGGCACUCCGUUAAUCGGUAGAGUGACAUCUGCACAAACUCUGAUGGUUACCUGAUACCUAAAAUCCUCAACUCUGUUCCAGCUCAGCCACAAGUGAACUGGGUGACUUGGGAGUAGAUAUUUGAAGUUUUUUGUAUUUAAUAUUCCAUCUCCAAAAUAAGAUAUUUAAUCAUAUUAGCCUUUGAAAUUCUAGCUAAGUCCAAAUUCAAUGACAAUUCUAGAUAGAUCGUAUAUUCAGACACACAGACGGGGAGAUGCAUGCGCACAUCUUUCUUUCCUCUGCAACUCAGCCUCCCUGUUGGGGGUGGCUUGGUUUCUGGACUGGAAGUGAUAAAAAGGAGGCACGCUUCUAGCUCAAUAUAUUCCAGCUAUAUAUAACUGUACAACAAUACAUCUAGCAGCAUUCCCAAGUGUGAAACAUGCUGCCUCCAGAUAAACACCUGACCUGUAAAGAAGAGGUCAUCAUGUAUUUAUCUGGUGGCAGCAUCUUUCACACCUGGGAAUGCUGCUAGAUGCUUUUACUGAGUGACAUAAACACUGCCAGCUUUGAGUGGGACUCAGAGCAAAGAAGUGCUCUGUAGCAGGUCCAAGGUAAGGUGCAGCAGCCUUGAUGUGUGGGCCAUAUGGCCUGACAGAUCCGGUGCUAUUAGAGGAAACUGUGGUAGGAAAAGUUGCUGUGUGAGAUUGCUGGCUACAUCUGGUAGGAUAACUGCAAUAGACCCCCAGGGUUCAGGAGCAAGGCCAUGAUCUCUGCAGUAGAGAGUUAUACAGCCUUCAGAAGUAUAGUUCCUGUUGUGUUGCUGGACCCUAGUUGAAACAGCAUUCCUGACAAUGAGACAACAAGUGACCCUAUGACCGGAACUUCCCAUUAUAAGCUGGUUUUUGUUAGACCAUCUACAUGAUGAACUGUCAGCAGUUUAUCCUAAGAAGGAAGUGGUAUGUCUGGAAUCAGUCAUAAGCAGGGCCAGAGGUCAUAAUAUGUAUGAAUGAGUGGCCCAGUCGUCCAUGAAAUCCAUUGGUGUUCCACUGAUGCCUCUCCCUCAAUUAACUAUUGCAGCUGCUGUACCAGUUAAAGCAGUCUAUAACCGCUUACAGAGAAGGGAAAAGGUGAAGCUUGGUUCAUAGACGGAUUUACUCUUUAUGCGGUGCAAGCUAGAAAUGUAUUACUAUUGCAUUACAAACAUAUCUGGGAGUGGCCCUGAAAUACAGUAGGGGCAUGGGAAAUUCUCCCAGUGGACAAAGCUGUAGGAUUGAGUAAAAUAUACAUAUGAACUCAUAGACAGUGGUGAAUAUUUUGGCUGUCUGUUCAGGGGCAUAGAAAAUGAAAUAUUGGGCUGGACGCAUGUGGCUAGACCUAAGAAGCCUUAGAGAGCUUGAGUGUAAAUUGUGAAGAUCUUUGUAUCAAAUGGUUGUAAUAAUCCAUCAUGGAAUAAGCACUAAACAAUCAAGGAGAAGAACCAGCCAUCUUCUUCAUCCACCAACCACGUGCUGGCACAAUGAACAGCAUGAACAAUGAACAGCAUGACCAUGGCAGCAGGGAUGAAAGCUAUGCAUGGGCUCAACAAUGUGGCCUCCCUCUUACGAAGACUGAUCUAGCUCCUGCUAUUGCUGAAGAUUCAACCUGCUGGCAACAGAGACCAAAGGAAAUAGGACCAAUCAGAAUCCCAGAAAACCUGUCUGGAGUAAACUUAUAUGAAGCAAGUGAAUCCAAAAGGGACAAUGGUGAACUGCAGUGGAUGCCGUAGCUCAUUACCCAGAGUCCACCUUCUGGGACAGCAGUACCUAGCUGCUGGGAUUGUUGCCUGCUGAUGGCUCGCAGUUGAAUCACUCCCCUGCAAUUGCCUUCAAAAGGGAACUGCCGUGACCAUGGUUAUGCUCCGUUUCUAGUGGGGAAUUUCAUAUCCAAUUAGUGGUCUAUGUGUAGGCGCAAAGGUCCAGUCACCUCUACUAAUUCAGGAUAUCUCUGAAGCACUAUCUCAGCUUCAGAGCUCUCCAUGGGAGUGACUGAGACCUCAUAACACAGGAUAAGUGCUCCCUUUGCCUAAUCUUGCUUCCCUUACUUCAUUGGAGGUGUUGUUCCCAAGAUCAUUUCCAUAAAACAUUUGCACUCAGUCUCUGAUUCAGAGUCUGUUUUCUACAGAUCCUGACCAUGUAAAAUACAUUAAUUUGACUUUUAAAAUAACAGGGUAUGUUAAAACUAGUUCUACCUAAAAAAUUGAAGUGAGCAAUUGAUUAGUAAACGUAAUUAUAGUAAGCAGUCGAAAGAGUUUAUUUAGUUCCUCUAGUCUCCCGGCCUUUUUUUUUUUUUUUUAACUUAAGCAAGAGUUCUUUCUUUAAAAUAUUUUUUAAAAAUUGACACAUAAUAGUUGUACACAUUUAUGGGGUACAUGGUGGUGUUGUGAUACAUAUAAUGUAUAGUGAUCAGAUCAGGAUAAUCAGCUAUCCAUCACAUCAAAAAUUUAUAAUUUUUUUUGUGUUGGGAACAUUCAAUGUCCUCCUUUUAGUUAUUUGAAACUAUACAAUAUAUUCUUGUUAACUAUACUUAUCUUAUACUACUAUAGAACACUAGAACUUAUUUCUCCUAUCUAGCUGUAAUUGUAUACUUUUUUUUUUGUAUACUUUUUUUUGGAGAUGGAGUGCUGCUCUGUUGCCCAGGCUAGAGUGCAGUGGUGCGAUCUUGGCUUGCUGCCACCUCCGCCUCUCAGGUUCAAGUGAUUCUCCUGCCUCAGCCUCCCAAAUAGCUGGGAAUACAGGCAUGUGCCACUGUGCCUGGCUAAUUUUUAUAUUUUUAGUGGAGACGAAGUUUCACUAUUUUGGCCAGGCUGGUCUCAAACUCCUGACCUCACGUGAUCCACCCGCCUCGGCCUCCCAAAGUGCUGGGAUUACAAGUGUGAGCCACUGUGCCCAGCCCCCUUUCUUGAUUUAUUAAAAAAUUGACUCAGUUUUCUAAAUCCUAACCUAUGAAAGACUGCUUUUCAGAUUGGAUGUCUUUUACCUAAGAAUCUCAAUUAUCUUAUUUUAUUAUUAGAAUUGACAUACCACUAGGUAGAACAUGGAAUUAUUAGUGGAUUGCAAUAUUUUAUACACUGUUGUAAGUUAAAAUCUUUUCCAUCAAGGCCAGCAGUAUAAUCAAUUAUGUGGGCAGUUGCUUUUAUUCAGUAGAGAUGUGGCUAGAUUUGUUAUAAGGAACAAAUGUCACCAGUUAACUGGACAAGAAGUCUGCCUUACAAAGAAUGUUGCUAGCAUUGUGUUCAGAAAAGCUUACAAUAGAUUCCUUACUAUUAGGAAUCUAUUACAUUAUACAUUUACAUGUGGAAGUCCAGCACUCAAAAGUUACUUUCUUCUUCUUAAAUAUGUAUCUUUAAAUUUAUGUUAAAACCAUGUGAUCUGGCACCUUGAUUAGUUCAUAAUUAAGUUAGUAGUCCAUAAUUUGAGAAAUGAAGCUUGUGUAGCUCUGUGAAACAGUCACACACAAGCACACACACACACACAAAUGCACGCACACAUCUAAACCCCACAUGCUCACAUUCACCACAGAAUUCCUUAUUUAAAUAUGCUAACAUCAUAACUACAAACAAAAUGCUUAUCGGUAUACCUAUAAAACAUAACAAAGACAGUGUGAGUUUGGUACAGGAAUAAACUACAAAUGGAACAGGAUAAAGUUCAGAAACAGACUAUGGUAUAUAUGUUCAACUGAUUGGGAAAGAAUGCUUUAUCUUUUCAUUAAAUGAUGCUGGGUUUAAUAGAUAGCUAUAAAAAUAAGGACCUUGACUCCUAUCUCACACCAUAUACAAGAGUCAAUUCUAGAUUGAUUACUGGGCUAAAUAUGUAAAGCAAAACAAAGGGAUUUUAGAGCAAAAUAUAGGUGUACAUUUUUUUGUGACCUUGGAAUAGGCAAAGAAAUAUUGAAUAGAACAUAAAAAGCAUUAAGCAUAAAAGAAAGAAUUGAAAACCUGGAUUAUAUUAAGAAUUUCUGUUUGCCAAAGACACCAUAAGUGGAUUAAGGGGAAAGAUGUGGACUGGAAGAAAAUAUUCACACCCCAUAUAUACGACAAAAGACUUCUGUCAAGAAUAUAUAAAGAGAAGGGCUUCAAGGGGGCAGACCACAGGCAUCUGGUGGAUGCCUCCUCCAGUAAGAGGAACCAAAAUAGCAAGUAAAUAAUCACACAUCGAAUAGAGAAUCUAAGAGAGAAAACUGGCAUUUAACAGAAGUGAUAGGAAACACAUGAGACACAGAAGGAGAGGGAAGUGAGGCAGCCAGCUCAGCCAGGAUUGUCUGGGAAUCCAAAGAGAGUUCCCAGUGUGGGGAAAGGGUAAGUGAAAGAUCUCAAGUAGUUCACAUUCCUAGGGCAAACUCCUGCAAACCUAGCCAUGAGAGAAACCCACAUGGCCCCUGAGAAUAGCAUAAGGAUCUGUCUGGAGACCACAUGACAGCAUUGCUCCAGAGAAGGCACUCAUGCCAGGUCCCACACACCCUGAAUCCUAGGCAGCUGCAGCAUGGUGCCAUUCUGAGAGCCCAGCCCCCACCAGAUUGCAUCCUUUUCUGGGGUCCAAUAUUCCCCACAUCUCCACAAUCCUAGAGCCCUACUGACAUCCCCACAUCUAUUGGGGGGCUCAACAGCCAAAAUCAUUCUGAGCAAAAAGAACAAAGCUAGAACUUCACAUUAACUGACUUCAAAAUAUAUUACAAGGCUAAAAUAACCAAAACAGCAUGGUUUAUGUUAAAAAUAGAUGCAUAGAUCAAUGGAACAAAAUAGAGGACCCAGAAAUAAAUGUAUGUAUUUACAGCCAAUUACUUUUCAACAAAGGUGGCAAGAACAUACCUUGGGGGAAUGGAUGCACUUUUCAAUAAAUGGUGCUGGGAAAACUGGAUUUCUAGAUGCAGAAGAAUGAACCCAGAACCCUAUCUCUCACCAUAAAGAAAAAUCAACUCAAGACAGCUUAAAGACUUAAACAUAGGACCCAAAACUAUAAAACUGCCAGAAGAAACAUAGAGGAAAUAAUCCAGAACAUUCGUGUAGGCAAAUAUUUUAUGGCUAAGACUUCAAAACCACAGGCAACAAAAACGAAAAUAGAAAAAUGAGACUAUAUUAAACUAAGAAGCCUCUGCACAGCACAGGAAACAAGCAACAGAGUGGAGACACAACCUAUUGGAUUGGAGAAAAUAUUUGCAAAUUAUUCAUCUGACAAGGGGUGAAUAUCCA
This 7186-nucleotide long non-coding RNA is filed under the name Homo sapiens (human). Its description in RNAcentral is "HSALNT0090781". The record is from RNAcentral. Lineage: Eukaryota; Metazoa; Chordata; Mammalia; Primates; Hominidae.